GACGAACGCUGGCGGCGUGCUUAACACAUGCAAGUCGAACGGAAAGGCCCUGCUUGCAGGGUACUCGAGUGGCGAACGGGUGAGUAACACGUGGGUGAUCUGCCCUGCACUUCGGGAUAAGCUUGGGAAACUGGGUCUAAUACCGGAUAGGAGCCAUCUUUAGUGUGGUGGUUGGAAAGUUUUUUCGGUGUAGGAUGAGCUCGCGGCCUAUCAGCUUGUUGGUGGGGUAAUGGCCUACCAAGGCGGCGACGGGUAGCCGGCCUGAGAGGGUGUACGGCCACAUUGGGACUGAGAUACGGCCCAGACUCCUACGGGAGGCAGCAGUGGGGAAUAUUGCACAAUGGCGCAAGCCUGAUGCAGCGACGCCGCGUGGGGGAUGAAGGCCUUCGGGUUGUAAACUCCUUUCGCUAGGGACGAAGCUUUGUUGUGACGGUACCUAGAGAAGAAGCACCGGCUAACUACGUG
This 465-nucleotide ribosomal RNA is filed under the name uncultured bacterium. Its description in RNAcentral is "partial 16S ribosomal RNA". It matches the Rfam family "Bacterial small subunit ribosomal RNA", at positions 28 to 507 of the family's 1533-position model. The record is from RNAcentral.